GCAAGUCUUGGGGGAAAGAAUCUUCGGAUUCAAGUACACCGGCGCACGGGUGAGUAACACGUGGGUAAUCUACCCUUCAGUCUGGAAUAACCUCGGGAAACCGUUGCUAAUGCCGGAUAGUCAGUACUGUCCAAAUGGGCGAUCCUGUAAAGAUGGUUUCGGCUAUCACUGGAGGACGAGCCCGCGGUCCAUUAGCUAGUAGGUGGGGUAAUGGCCUACCUAGGCAACAAUGGAUAGCUGGUCUGAGAGGAUGAUC
Molecule: ribosomal RNA, 256 nt
Filed under: uncultured bacterium
Lineage: Bacteria
Description: partial 16S ribosomal RNA
Rfam family: Bacterial small subunit ribosomal RNA
Source: RNAcentral